This 497-nucleotide ribosomal RNA is filed under the name uncultured bacterium. RNAcentral describes it as "partial 16S ribosomal RNA". It matches the Rfam family "Bacterial small subunit ribosomal RNA", at positions 28 to 507 of the family's 1533-position model. The record is from RNAcentral.
GAUGAACGCUGGCGGCGUGCCUAAUACAUGCAAGUCGAGCGAACAGACGAGGAGCUUGCUCCUCUGACGUUAGCGGCGGACGGGUGAGUAACACGUGGAUAACCUACCUAUAAGACUGGGAUAACUUCGGGAAACCGGAGCUAAUACCGGAUAAUAUAUUGAACCGCAUGGUUCAAUAGUGAAAGACGGUUUUGCUGUCACUUAUAGAUGGAUCCGCGCCGCAUUAGCUAGUUGGUAAGGUAACGGCUUACCAAGGCAACGAUGCGUAGCCGACCUGGGAGGGUGGUCGGCCACACUGGAACUGAGACACGGUCCAGACUCCUACGGGAGGCAGCAGUAGGGAAUCUUCCGCAAUGGGCGGAAGCUUGACGGAGCAACGCCGCGUGAGUGAUGAAGGUCUUCGGAGCGUAAAACUCGGUUAUUAGGGAAGAACAAAUGUGUAAGUAACUAUGCACGUCUUGACGGUACCUAAUCAGAAAGCCACGGCUAACUACGUG